UUCUGGCUCAGGAUGAACGCUAGCGGCAGGCUUAACACGAUGCAAGGUCGAGGGGCAUCGGGUGUAGCAAUACAUGCCGGCGACCGGCGAAAGGGUGAGUAACGCGUGAGCAACGUGCCCGUAUGUGGGGGAUAGUCGAUGGAAACGUCGCGUAAUACCCCGUAACACAUGGAACUGCAUGGUUUCAUGUUGAAAGAUUUAUUGCAUACGGAUCGGCUCGCGUGCCAUUAGGUAGACGGCGGGGUAACGGCCCACCGUGCCGACGAUGGCUAGGGGUUCUGAGAGGAAGGUCCCCCACAUUGGAACUGAGACACGGUCCAGACUCCUACGGGAGGCAGCAGUGAGGAAUAUUGGACAAUGGCCGGAAGGCUGAUCCAGCCAUGCCGCGUGCGGGAAGAACCGGCCCUAUGGGUUGUAAACCGCUUUUGCGGGGGAGCAAUAAGAGUCACGUGUGGCUCGAUGAGAGUACCCUGCGAAUAAGCAUCGGCUAACUCCGUGCCAGCAGCCGC
Molecule: ribosomal RNA, 509 nt
Filed under: uncultured bacterium
Lineage: Bacteria
Description: bacterial SSU rRNA
Rfam family: Bacterial small subunit ribosomal RNA
Source: RNAcentral